Molecule: ribosomal RNA, 170 nt
Filed under: uncultured bacterium
Lineage: Bacteria
Description: partial 16S ribosomal RNA
Rfam family: Bacterial small subunit ribosomal RNA
Source: RNAcentral
UCCUACGGGAGGCAGCAGUGGGGAAUAUUGCACAAUGGAGGAAACUCUGAUGCAGCGACGCCGCGUGAAUGAUGAAGGCCUUCGGGUCGUAAAAUUCUGUCCUUGGGGACGAUAAUGACGGUACCUUAGGAGGAAGCCCCGGCUAACUACGUGCCAGCAGCCGCGGUAAU